GACGAACCGAGCGAACGUUAUUCGGAAUCACUGGGCUUAAAGGGCGCGUAGGCGGGCCGUCAAGUCAGGGGUGAAAGCCCCCAGCUCAACUGGGGAAGUGCCUCUGAUACUGACGGCCUCGAGGGAGAUAGGGGCGUGCGGAACUUCCGGUGGAGCGGUGAAAUGCGUAGAUAUCGGAAGGAACACCGGUGGCGAAAGCGGCGCGCUGGAUCUCUUCUGACGCUGAGGCGCGAAAGCCAGGGGAGCGAACGGG
Molecule: ribosomal RNA, 253 nt
Filed under: uncultured bacterium
Lineage: Bacteria
Description: partial 16S ribosomal RNA
Rfam family: Bacterial small subunit ribosomal RNA
Source: RNAcentral